UGGGGAAUAUUGCACAAUGGGGGAAACCCUGAUGCAGCGACGCCGCGUGAACGAAGAAGGUAUUCGUAUCGUAAAGUUCUGUCCUAUGGGAAGAUAAUGACAGUACCAUAGAAGAAAGCUCCGGCUAAAUACGUGCCAGCAGCCGCGGUAAUACGUAUGGAGCGAGCGUUGUCCGGAUUAUUGGGCGUAAAGGGUACGCAGGCGGUUUAAUAAGUCGAAUGUUAAAGAUCGGGGCUCAACCCCGCAAAGCAUUGGAAACUGAUAAACGUGAGUAGUGGAGAGGAAAGUGGAAUUCCUAGUGUAGUGGUGAAAUACGUAGAUAUUAGGAGGAAUACCAGUAGCGAAGGCGACUUUCUGGACACAAACUGACGCUGAGGUACGAAAGCGUGGGGAGCAAACAGG
RNAcentral lists this ribosomal RNA (402 nucleotides) under bacterium. Its description in RNAcentral is "partial 16S ribosomal RNA". It matches the Rfam family "Bacterial small subunit ribosomal RNA", at positions 355 to 776 of the family's 1533-position model. The record is from RNAcentral.